Molecule: long non-coding RNA, 430 nt
Filed under: Vigna radiata
Lineage: Eukaryota; Viridiplantae; Streptophyta; Magnoliopsida; Fabales; Fabaceae
Description: long non-coding RNA (VRAD_LNC009406)
Source: RNAcentral
UCUGCAUGGAGAGGUUUCUCUCGAAGGAAGCGUUCGAGGUGCACCGAAGGACCUCGCCAUCGUCAACAGGCGACGGCGAAGGCGAGCGACGAUGGUCGUACUGCGGCGGUUGCGGAGGGCGUUGGAAGUCCGCCAUCGUCGACGAUUCCUUGCUGUGCCUUCUUCUGAAGGUGUCGUUCUGCUGUUCGAGGAGAUUCGAAUUGGGAAGGGGUUCAUCGAAGGAGACCUUCAGCUCCCUGGAAUUGCGAAAGUUCACCGGAGACUCCUCAACCGUCGGCGAUUCUCUAUUGUGCCUUCUUCUGAAGGGGUCGUUCUGCUGUUCGAGGAGAUUCGAAUCGGAAAGGCGUUCAUCGAAGGAGACCUUCAGCUCCCUGGAAUUGCGAUGGUUCACCGGAGACUCCUCCACCGGCGUCAACCUUCCUUCGCCGGC